RNAcentral lists this ribosomal RNA (496 nucleotides) under uncultured bacterium. Its description in RNAcentral is "partial 16S ribosomal RNA". It matches the Rfam family "Bacterial small subunit ribosomal RNA", at positions 28 to 506 of the family's 1533-position model. The record is from RNAcentral.
GAUGAACGCUGGCGGCGUGCCUAAUACAUGCAAGUCGAGCGAACGGACGAGAAGCUUGCUUCUCUGAUGUUAGCGGCGGACGGGUGAGUAACACGUGGAUAACCUACCUAUAAGACUGGGAUAACUUCGGGAAACCGGAGCUAAUACCGGAUAAUAUUUUGAACCGCAUGGUUCAAAAGUGAAAGACGGUCUUGCUGUCACUUAUAGAUGGAUCCGCGCUGCAUUAGCUAGUUGGUAAGGUAACGGCUUACCAAGGCAACGAUGCAUAGCCGACCUGAGAGGGUGAUCGGCCACACUGGAACUGAGACACGGUCCAGACUCCUACGGGAGGCAGCAGUAGGGAACCUUCCGCAAUGGGCGAAAGCCUGACGGAGCAACGCCGCGUGAGUGAUGAAGGUCUUCGGAUCGUAAAACUCUGUUAUUAGGGAAGAACAUAUGUGUAAGUAACUGUGCACAUCUUGACGGUACCUAAGCAGAAAGCCACGGCUAACUACGU